Molecule: ribosomal RNA, 305 nt
Filed under: uncultured bacterium
Lineage: Bacteria
Description: partial 16S ribosomal RNA
Rfam family: Bacterial small subunit ribosomal RNA
Source: RNAcentral
ACAGCAGUAGCCGCGGGAAUACGAACCGUGCGAACGUUAUUCGGAAUUACUGGGCUUAAAGCGCGUGUAGGCGGGCCGCCACGUCGGUUGCUGAAAUCCCCCGGCUCAACCGGGGAAGUGGCAUCGAUACGAGCGGCCUUGAGGGGGGUAGGGGGAUCUGGAACUUCCGGUGGAGCGGUGAAAUGCGUUGAGAUCGGAAGGAACGCCCGUGGCGAAAGCGAGGUCCUGGACCCUUUCUGACGCUGAGACGCGAAAGCCAGGGGAGCGAACGGGAUUAGAUACCCGGGUAGUCCCUGUCUCUUAUA